RNAcentral lists this ribosomal RNA (904 nucleotides) under Lactiplantibacillus plantarum. RNAcentral describes it as "bacterial SSU rRNA". It matches the Rfam family "Bacterial small subunit ribosomal RNA", at positions 66 to 936 of the family's 1533-position model. Lineage: Bacteria; Bacillati; Bacillota; Bacilli; Lactobacillales; Lactobacillaceae. The record is from RNAcentral.
ACUCUGGUAUUGAUUGGUGCUUGCAUCAUGAUUUACAUUUGAGUGAGUGGCGAACUGGUGAGUAACACGUGGGAAACCUGCCCAGAAGCGGGGGAUAACACCUGGAAACAGAUGCUAAUACCGCAUAACAACUUGGACCGCAUGGUCCGAGUUUGAAAGAUGGCUUCGGCUAUCACUUUUGGAUGGUCCCGCGGCGUAUUAGCUAGAUGGUGGGGUAACGGCUCACCAUGGCAAUGAUACGUAGCCGACCUGAGAGGGUAAUCGGCCACAUUGGGACUGAGACACGGCCCAAACUCCUACGGGAGGCAGCAGUAGGGAAUCUUCCACAAUGGACGAAAGUCUGAUGGAGCAACGCCGCGUGAGUGAAGAAGGGUUUCGGCUCGUAAAACUCUGUUGUUAAAGAAGAACAUAUCUGAGAGUAACUGUUCAGGUAUUGACGGUAUUUAACCAGAAAGCCACGGCUAACUACGUGCCAGCAGCCGCGGUAAUACGUAGGUGGCAAGCGUUGUCCGGAUUUAUUGGGCGUAAAGCGAGCGCAGGCGGUUUUUUAAGUCUGAUGUGAAAGCCUUCGGCUCAACCGAAGAAGUGCAUCGGAAACUGGGAAACUUGAGUGCAGAAGAGGACAGUGGAACUCCAUGUGUAGCGGUGAAAUGCGUAGAUAUAUGGAAGAACACCAGUGGCGAAGGCGGCUGUCUGGUCUGUAACUGACGCUGAGGCUCGAAAGUAUGGGUAGCAAACAGGAUUAGAUACCCUGGUAGUCCAUACCGUAAACGAUGAAUGCUAAGUGUUGGGAGGGUUUCCGCCCUUCAGUGCUGCAGCUAACGCAUUAAGCAUUCCGCCUGGGGGAGUACGGCCGCAAGGCUGAAACUCAAAGGAAUUGACGGGGGCCCGCACAAGCGGUGGA